CCUACGGGAGGCAGCAGUGAGGAAUAUUGGUCAAUGGACGCAAGUCUGAACCCGCCAUGACGCGUGCAGGAAGACGGCUCUAUGAGUUGUAAACUGCGUUUGUACGAGGGUAAACGCAGAUACGCGUAUCUGUCUGACAGUAUCGUACGAAUAAUGAUCGGCUAACUCCGUGACAGCAGCCGGGGUAAUACGGAGGAUUCAAGCGUUAUCCGGAUUUCUUGGGUUUAAAGGGUUCGUAGGCGGUCGGAUAAGUUAGAGGUGAAAUCCCGAGGCUCAACUUCGGAAUUGCCUCUGAUACUGUUCGGCUAGAGAGUAGUUGCGGUAGGCGGAAUGUAUGGUGUAGCGGUGAAAUGCUUAGAGAUCAUACAGAACACCGAUUGCGAAGGCAGCUUACCAAGCUACUUCUGACGUUGAGGCACGAAAGCGUGGGGAGCAAACAGGAUUAGAUACCCCUGUAGUC
Molecule: ribosomal RNA, 460 nt
Filed under: uncultured bacterium
Lineage: Bacteria
Description: partial 16S ribosomal RNA
Rfam family: Bacterial small subunit ribosomal RNA
Source: RNAcentral